Non-coding RNA from Oncorhynchus mykiss (rainbow trout), 1485 nucleotides. The record is from RefSeq and is a predicted model, not a curated record. NCBI's taxonomy places the organism in Eukaryota, Metazoa, Chordata, Actinopteri, Salmoniformes, Salmonidae.
UGCACCCCUGGUGUGUCUCUCAUUUCCCCCUAGGUUAAACAAACCAAUACAUGCCCUUUAACUUUCCAUGACAACACCACUGCCCUGUAACUCUCCUUUCCCUGUAACUUUCCCCUGGCAACACCGUGUUGAAAGUAACAUUAUCUGUCCGUCUGACAAGACAACUACAACCAUUUCAUCAAGGUGGUUGACUGACCACUUAUUCCAUUGAGGUACCUGGACAUGUCGACUGCAACACCGUUCAACAUGUGACUGCAUGGCAGUGACUGCGCAAAGGUAUUGUACCAAGCAAAGUAAAAGCUAGUAGCUAUCCGAAUGGUUGACAGACUCACCUUGCCAGUCUUGUGAUCAAACCAGAGGAGGGCAUGGUUCCGUGACAGAACCUUGCAGUCGAACGUGGCGUUGUUCUGAGCCGGUCGGCAUCGUGCCACAGAGCGCCCGAUCUUGACUGGCUCGUCCAGGUAGACAUGACGUUCCUGAAAAGGGUGUGAAUUCGGACGACAGGAGAAAACGGCCAGCGCUGAAGGCAUUGAUGAUGGCUUGGGAGUGUUACUCCAACCAGAGACUAAAGACAAGGUUUCUUGAUCCAGAAUGACAACGUUCUAAGUCUUCAAUCAUCGGCUGUUAAUUCAAUUUAGCCUAGCUAUUCCGCUGGCUGGCUAUUCUAUUUUGAGUUAAAGCACGAACUAGCUAUCAAACAUUAUAUUCAUUUUUUACGUUUUUCAACGAGAAACGUAACCAACACUGGUAAAUCAAAAAAAAAAAAAAAAAGAUUUUUGGGCUCUCUUUCCACAGAGCUACAUUACGUCCACUGAAUGUUAUUCAACACGACUAUGUACAGGUCAGAUCUCUGACUAGCCAGAAUCGCAUGACGAUAACAAUAGUAGCCGUCUAGAAAAUAUCUAAUCACGUCCAUCAAAAUGUACAGGGAAAUAAGCUAUAUUGAGCAGGCUAGUGUGGCACCCAAUCUUUAGCACAGCAACGGAUAAAUCCAGAUUGGUAGUUUAUACAAACUAUUUGACCAGUGCGGGGUUUCCGAUCCCUGCGCCUGGUGAUGAUACGGCUAUUGAAACACAACCGCUGUCAAUCUGACCGUGGUUUAACAGGUCAUUAAUACAUUGUUUUUCUAUAGAGUUUGUGUCAUUACGUUUUGUUUAUCCUACGCACUAUAGACGGGUGCGAUAUAAGAACAUCUGACCUUGUUUGUUAGCUAGCUCGCUAACCAGCUAAUGCAAACCCCUAGCCACUCCCAACUCAUGCAGACUAGCAAGCUAAUAUUGAGUUUCAGGGCCCUGAACAGCAACAAAUCUUUCUAAUCUCAAAGCUGAAAUGUUUCAAACUGCUGCAAAGACAACCCUUAAAUCUAAAAUGGGUAUUGCAGCGGGAUGUAGAGAUGAAUGUGCCUAAUACAAAAACCCUGCAGUUUGGCUGUUUGCUGGCAACUACCCAGAUAUAGCUAUAAAAAAAAAAAUGUAAAAAAAAAAA